RNAcentral lists this long non-coding RNA (210 nucleotides) under Lathyrus oleraceus (garden pea). Its description in RNAcentral is "Pisum sativum (pea) long non-coding RNA (PSAT_LNC024966)". Lineage: Eukaryota; Viridiplantae; Streptophyta; Magnoliopsida; Fabales; Fabaceae. The record is from RNAcentral.
UGUCUCCCACCAGGCCCCAAGUUUGAUCCUUAGCUUUGGUUUUUGUGUGGUUUCGUUAAUUUUAUUUUCUUAAAGAUAGUCUUUCUUUAUUUUAUUUUUCUUUCGUAAUUAUUUGGUUUAGAUUAAGUUUUUUUCUCGUAUUCCCUAUUUAAUUCAAAAAAGCAUGGUUGCUUUAUUCUAUUUUCGUUCAUUUUUAUUUUUUAAAAUGCG